This 72-nucleotide transfer RNA is filed under the name Candidatus Gottesmanbacteria bacterium RIFCSPLOWO2_01_FULL_46_9. Its description in RNAcentral is "tRNA-Gly". It matches the Rfam family "tRNA". From Rfam's summary of the family: Transfer RNA (tRNA) molecules are approximately 80 nucleotides in length. The record is from RNAcentral. Lineage: Bacteria; Candidatus Gottesmaniibacteriota.
GCGGGCGUAGUUCAGCGGUAGAAUGUCUCCUUCCCAAGGAGAAGGUCGCGAGUUCAAUUCUCGUCGCCCGCU